AUAUAGGGCAAAGGUAAAGCCUGAAUUAUCUUACAGACAUGGAAAUGACAGAACACUGAACACACCCGGACUGGAUAUCGGGUGAAAUUAAGUCAGCAGUUGGAAGCAGAUCAGUUGCAGCUCAGCCAGCAGGAUGAGAAGAAUCAGAAAGCAGUCAGUCAAUACCUAAAGCAACUACAGUCCUUCAAGUCUUCCAGUCACAGUCACGAGUCACCAUCCCAGCAGCCUCUAAGAAAGAAAACUGUCGACUUAAUGGAGAGAAAUAAGAAAAGCCUUUCCCUGUUUAUUCUGCUGCCUCUGCUGUUGCUCUGCACAAGUGAUGAGUGUCCCAGGCUUCCAGAGAAUCUCACUUGCUACACUGACUACAAUAGAAACAUCACAUGUUUGUGGAACAGCACUGAUGAGGCUGCAUGCACCAUACAUGCUCAGUAUAAAUCUCAACGCCUUUCUUACAGCGCUUCCUGUGACCUAAAGUCUGUAGACAUCUCCAGAGCAGCCCUAAAGAAGUGCUCCCUGAUCUUUAACGACACAUACACUGUGAGUGUGUGAAAAAAUCUAUUGUUUUCAAGCCC
Pundamilia nyererei is the source of this 572-nucleotide long non-coding RNA. RefSeq lists it as uncharacterized. The record is from RefSeq and is a predicted model, not a curated record. The transcript is spliced from 5 exons. NCBI's taxonomy places the organism in Eukaryota, Metazoa, Chordata, Actinopteri, Cichliformes, Cichlidae.